AGUGAACGCUGGCGGUAGGCCUAACACAUGCAAGUCGAACGGCAGCACAGUAAGAGCUUGCUCUUACGGGUGGCGAGUGGCGGACGGGUGAGGAAUACAUCGGAAUCUACUUUUUCGUGGGGGAUAACGUAGGGGAACUUACGCUAAUACCGCAUACGACCUACGGGUGAAAGCAGGGGAUCUUCGGACCUUGCGCGAUCGAAUGAGCCGAUGUCGGAUUAGCUAGUUGGCGGGGUAAAGGCCCACCAAGGCGACGAUCCGUAGCUGGUCUGAGAGGAUGAUCAGCCACACUGGAACUGAGACACGGUCCAGACUCCUACGGGAGGCAGCAGUGGGGAAUAUUGGACAAUGGGCGCAAGCCUGAUCCAGCCAUACCGCGUGGGUGAAGAAGGCCUUCGGGUUGUAAAGCCCUUUUGUUGGGAAAGAAAAGCAGCAGGUUAAUACCCCGCUGUUCUGACGGUACCCAAAGAAUAAGCACCGGCUAACUUCGUG
Molecule: ribosomal RNA, 492 nt
Filed under: uncultured bacterium
Lineage: Bacteria
Description: partial 16S ribosomal RNA
Rfam family: Bacterial small subunit ribosomal RNA
Source: RNAcentral